RNAcentral lists this small RNA (124 nucleotides) under Choloepus hoffmanni (Hoffmann's two-fingered sloth). RNAcentral describes it as "Nuclear RNase P (ENSCHOG00000016046.1)". Lineage: Eukaryota; Metazoa; Chordata; Mammalia; Pilosa; Megalonychidae. The record is from RNAcentral.
UCACAAGUGGUUCUUUCAGGGCCUUCUCUGAGCUUCUGGGAAAUGAGUCUCCAGAGAAUGGGGCUCCUCAUGAGAGUGUAGCUUACCCACCCUUUACCAAGGAGAUUAGGCAUGUGACUCACGA